This 93-nucleotide transfer RNA is filed under the name Gemmatimonadota bacterium. Its description in RNAcentral is "tRNA-OTHER". Lineage: Bacteria; Pseudomonadati; Gemmatimonadota. The record is from RNAcentral.
GGAGGGUGUCCUACUGAUGGGCAGUUAAGGGACUUAAAAUCCCUGUGAGGUGGGUCGCUGACACGGCCCAGGGUUCGAUUCCCACACCCUCCU